AUUGAACGCUGGCGGCAGGCCUAACACAUGCAAGUCGAGCGAGCGGCGGACGGGUGAGAAAUGUAUGGGGACUGCCCGAUAGAGGGGGAUAACUACUGGAAAAGGUAGCGAAUAUCGCAUACAAUCGGAUAACCCAGAUGGGAUUAGCUCGUAGGUGGGGUAAUGACUCACCUAGGCGACGAUCCCUAGCUGGUCUGAGAGGAUGAGCAGCCACACUGGGACUGAGACACGGCCCAGACUCCUACGGAGGCAGCAGUGGGGAAUAUUGCACAAUGGGCGCAAGCCUGAUGCAGCCAUGCCGCGUGUAUGAAGAAGGCCCUAGGGUUGUAAAGUACUUUCAGUCGGGAGGCGUUACCGACAGAAGAAGCACCGGCUAACUCCGUGCCAGCAGCCGCGGUAAUAC
RNAcentral lists this ribosomal RNA (403 nucleotides) under uncultured bacterium. RNAcentral describes it as "partial 16S ribosomal RNA". It matches the Rfam family "Bacterial small subunit ribosomal RNA", at positions 30 to 526 of the family's 1533-position model. The record is from RNAcentral.